AGCGAACGCUGGCGGCAGGCCUAACACAUGCAAGUCGAGCGGCCGUAGCAAUACGGCAGCGGCAGACGGGAGAGUAACACGUGGGAACGUGCCCUUUGGUUCGGAAUAACGCAGGGAAACUUGCGCUAAUACCGAAUAAGCCCUUACGGGGAAAGAUUUAUCGCCAUUGGAGCGGCCCGCGUCUGAUUAGCUAGUUGGUGGGGUAACGGCGUCACCAACGGCGACGAUCAGUAGCNGGUCUGAGAGGAUGAUCAGCCUCCACUGGGACGUGAGACACGGCCCAGACUCCUACGGGAGGGCAGCAGUGGGGGAAGUAUUGGACAAUGGGCGGCAAGCCUGAUCCAGCCAUGCCGCGUGG
This 358-nucleotide ribosomal RNA is filed under the name uncultured bacterium. RNAcentral describes it as "bacterial SSU rRNA". It matches the Rfam family "Bacterial small subunit ribosomal RNA", at positions 29 to 404 of the family's 1533-position model. The record is from RNAcentral.